CCAUGCCGCGUGCGGGAAGAAGGCCUUCGGGUUGUAAACCGCUUUUGUCGGGGAAGAAAAGGUUCUGGCUAAAACCUGGGACUCAUGACGGUACCUGAAGAAUAAGCACCGGCUAACUACGUGCCAGCAGCCGCGGUAAUACGUAGGGUGCAAGCGUUAAUCGGAAUUACUGGGCGUAAAGCGUGCGCAGGCGGUUAUGCAAGACAGAGGUGAAAUCCCCGGGCUCAACCUGGGAACUGCCUUUGUGACUGCAUGGCUAGAGUACGGUAGAGGGGGAUGGAAUUCCGCGUGUAGCAGUGAAAUGCAUAGAUAUGCGGAGGAACACCGAUGGCGAAGGCAAUCCCCUGGACCUGUACUGACGCUCAUGCACGAAAGCGUGGGGAGCAAACAGGAUUAGAUACCCUGGUAGUCCACGCCCUAAACGAUGUCAACUGGUUGUUGGGAGGGUUUCUUCUCAGUAACGUAGCUAACGCGUGAAGUUGACCGCCUGGGGAGUACGGCCGCAAGGUUG
This 511-nucleotide ribosomal RNA is filed under the name uncultured Pseudomonadota bacterium. RNAcentral describes it as "bacterial SSU rRNA". It matches the Rfam family "Bacterial small subunit ribosomal RNA", at positions 392 to 896 of the family's 1533-position model. The record is from RNAcentral. Lineage: Bacteria; Pseudomonadati; Pseudomonadota.